Molecule: ribosomal RNA, 900 nt
Filed under: Furcasterigmium furcatum
Lineage: Eukaryota; Fungi; Ascomycota; Sordariomycetes; Glomerellales; Plectosphaerellaceae
Description: partial large subunit ribosomal RNA
Rfam family: Eukaryotic large subunit ribosomal RNA
Source: RNAcentral
GCAAUCAUAAGCGAGGAAAAGAAACCAACAGGGAUUGCCUAGUAACGGCGAGUGAAGCGGCAACAGCUCAAAUUUGAAAUCUGGUCCUUUCAGGGCCCGAGUUGUAAUUUGCAGAGGAUGCUUCGGGUACGGGUGCCUACUGAGUUUCCCUGGAACGGGACGCCAUAGAGGGUGAGAGCCCCGUCUAGUAGGAUACCCAGCCCAUGUGAAGCUCCCUCGACGAGUCGAGUAGUUUGGGAAUGCUGCUCUAAUGGGAGGUAUACUCCUUCCAAGGCUAAAUACCGGCUGGAGACCGAUAGCGCACAAGUAGAGUGAUCGAAAGAUGAAAAGCACUUUGAAAAGAGAGUCAAAUAGCACGUGAAAUUGUUGAAAGGGAAGCGCUCGCUACCAGACUUGAGUUAGGCGGUUCAACCGGGGCCACGCCCCGGGGCACUCCACCUGCUCAGGCCAGCAUCAGCUUUCCGUCGGGGGCAAAGGCGUCGGGAAUGUGGCUCUCCUCCGGGAGAGUGUUAUAGCCCGGCGUGUCAUACCCUUCGGGGGGCUGAGGUACGCGCUUCUGCAAGGAUGCUGGCGUAAUGGUAGCUAGUGACCCGUCUUGAAACACGGACCAAGGAGUCAACCUUAUGUGCGAGUGCCCGGGCGUAAAACCCCAGCGCGGAAUGAAAGUGAACGUAGGUGAGAGCUUCGGCGCAUCACCGACCGAUCCUGAUGUCCUCGGACGGAUUUGAGUGAGAGCAUAUAGGGUUGGACCCGAAAGAAGAUGAACUAUGCGUGUGUAGGGUGAAGCCAGAGGAAACUCUGGUGGAGGCUCGCAGCGGUUUCUGACGUGCAAAUCGAUCGUCAAACAUGCGCAUGGGGGCGAAAGACUAAUCGAAUCUUCUGGUAGCUGGGUUUCCGCGA